GCCCUAGUAACGGCGAGUGAAGCGGCAACAGCUCAAAUUUGAAAUCUGGCCCUCGGGUCCGAGUUGUAAUUUGUAGAGGAUGCUUUUGGUGCGGUGCCUUCCGAGUUCCCUGGAACGGGACGCCAUAGAGGGUGAGAGCCCCGUCUGGUCGGACACCAAUCCUCUGUAAAGCUCCUUCGACGAGUCGAGUAGUUUGGGAAUGCUGCUCUAAAUGGGAGGUAUAUGUCUUCUAAAGCUAAAUACCGGCCAGAGACCGAUAGCGCACAAGUAGAGUGAUCGAAAGAUGAAAAGCACUUUGAAAAGAGAGUUAAACAGCACGUGAAAUUGUUGAAAGGGAAGCGCUCAUGACCAGACUUGGGCUUGGUAGAUCAACCUGGGUUCUCCCCGGUGCACUCUUCCUCGUCCCAGGCCAGCAUCAGUUCGCGGCGGGGGACAAAGGCUUCGGGAAUGUGGCUCCCUCGGGAGUGUUAUAGCCCGUUGCGUAAUACCCUGCUGCGGACUGAGGUUCGCGUUCUGCAAGGAUGCUGGCGUAAUGGUCAUCAGUGACCCGUCUUGAAACACGGACCAAGGAGUCGUCUUCGUAUGCGAGUGUUCGGGUGUUAAACCCCUACGCGUAAUGAAAGUGAACGCAGGUGAGAGCUUCGGCGCAUCAUCGACCGAUCCUGAUGUUCUCGGAUGGAUUUGAGUAAGAGCAUACGGGGCCGGACCCGAAAGAAGGUGAACUAUGCCUGUAUAGGGUGAAGCCAGAGGAAACUCUGGUGGAGGCUCGCAGCGGUUCUGACGUGCAAAUCGAUCGUCAAAUAUGGGCAUGGGGGCGAAAGACUAA
Molecule: ribosomal RNA, 826 nt
Filed under: Tumenectria laetidisca
Lineage: Eukaryota; Fungi; Ascomycota; Sordariomycetes; Hypocreales; Nectriaceae
Description: eukaryotic LSU rRNA
Rfam family: Eukaryotic large subunit ribosomal RNA
Source: RNAcentral